GGUAACGGGGAAUUAGGGUUCGAUUCCGGAGAGGGAGCCUGAGAAACGGCUACCACAUCUAAGGAAGGCAGCAGGCGCGCAAAUUACCCAAUGAAAACAGUUUCGAGGUAGUGACGAGAAAUAACAAUACAGGGCAUUUUAUGCUCUGUAAUUGGAAUGAUGGGAAUCCAAAACCCUUUCAGAGUAACAAUUGGAGGGCAAGUCUGGUGCCAGCAGCCGCGGUAAUUCCAGCUCCAAUAGCGUAUAUUAGAGUUGUUGCAGUUAAAAAGCUCGUAGUUGGAUUUCUGUCGUGGUCUUCCGGUUUCGCCCGUAUGGGUGUUUACUUGGUUAGCCCUCGGCAUUCUUCCGGGUUCCUUCCCCGCUUCACUGCGUGGUUGGGUUUUCCGGAACUUUUACUUUGAGAAAAAUAGAGUGUUUCAAGCAGGCUUUCGCCUUGAAUACUUCAGCAUGGAAUAAUAAGAUAGGACUUUGGUUCUAUUUUGUUGGUUUCUAGGACUAAAGUAAUGAUUAAUAGGGACAGUUGGGGGCAUUCGUAUUUAACUGUCAGAGGUGAAAUUCUUAGAUUUG
RNAcentral lists this ribosomal RNA (567 nucleotides) under Schellackia sp. RNAcentral's name for it is "SSU rRNA". It matches the Rfam family "Eukaryotic small subunit ribosomal RNA", at positions 358 to 928 of the family's 1831-position model. Lineage: Eukaryota; Apicomplexa; Conoidasida; Eucoccidiorida; Lankesterellidae. The record is from RNAcentral.